UACAGAGGGUGCAAGCGUUAAUCGGAAUUACUGGGCGUAAAGCGUGCGUAGUCGGUUAUCUAGUCGGGUGUGAAUCCCCGGGACUCGAACCUGGGAAUUGCAUUCGAUACUGGAUAGCGUAGAGUUCGGCAGGAGGGAAGCGGGAAGUUUCGGGUGUAGCGGUGAAAUGACGUAGAUAUCCGAAGGAACAUCAGUGGCGAAGGCGGCUUCCGUGGACCAGAACGUCGACGA
Molecule: ribosomal RNA, 231 nt
Filed under: uncultured bacterium
Lineage: Bacteria
Description: partial 16S ribosomal RNA
Rfam family: Bacterial small subunit ribosomal RNA
Source: RNAcentral